GGGUUGUGAGGUUAAGCGACUAAGCGUACACGGUGGAUGCCCUGGCAGUCAGAGGCGAUGAAGGGCGUACUAAUCUGCGAUAAGCGCCGGUAAGGUGAUAUGAACCGUUAUAACCGGCGAUACCCGAAUGGGGAAACCCAGUGUGAUUCGUCACACUAUCAUUAACUGAAUCCAUAGGUUAAUGAGGCGAACCGGGGGAACUGAAACAUCUAAGUACCCCGAGGAAAAGAAAUCAACCGAGAUUCCCCCAGUAGCGGCGAGCGAACGGGGAGGAGCCCAGAGCCUGAAUCAGCAUGUGUGUUAGUGGAAGCGUCUGGAAAGGCGCGCGAUACAGGGUGACAGCCCCGUACACAAAAGCGCAUGUGCUGUGAGCUCGAUGAGUAGGGCGGGACACGUGGUAUCCUGUCUGAAUAUGGGGGGACCAUCCUCCAAGGCUAAAUACUCCUGACUGACCGAUAGUGAACCAGUACCGUGAGGGAAAGGCGAAAAGAACCCCGGCGAGGGGAGUGAAAAAGAACCUGAAACCGUGUACGUACAAGCAGUGGGAGCACCCUUUGGGUGUGACUGCGUACCUUUUGUAUAAUGGGUCAGCGACUUAUAUUCUGUAGCAAGGUUAACCGAAUAGGGGAGCCGGAGGGAAACCGAGUCUUAAUUGGGCGUUAAGUUGCAGGGUAUAGACCCGAAACCCGGUGAUCUAGCCAUGGGCAGGUUGAAGGUUGGGUAACACUAACUGGAGGACCGAACCGACUAAUGUUGAAAAAUUAGCGGAUGACCUGUGGCUGGGGGUGAAAGGCCAAUCAAACCGGGAGAUAGCUGGUUCUCCCCGAAAGCUAUUUAGGUAGCGCCUCGUGAAUUCAUCUCCGGGGGUAGAGCACUGUUUCGGCUAGGGGGCCAUCCCGGCUUACCAACCCGAUGCAAACUGCGAAUACCGGAGAAUGUUAUCACGGGAGACACACGGCGGGUGCUAACGUCCGUCGUGAAGAGGGAAACAACCCAGACCGCCAGCUAAGGUCCCAAAGUCAUGGUUAAGUGGGAAACGAUGUGGGAAGGCCCAGACAGCCAGGAUGUUGGCUUAGAAGCAGCCAUCAUUUAAAGAAAGCGUAAUAGCUCACUGGUCGAGUCGGCCUGCGCGGAAGAUGUAACGGGGCUAAACCAUGCACCGAAGCUGCGGCAGCGACGCUUAUGCGUUGUUGGGUAGGGGAGCGUUCUGUAAGCCUGCGAAGGUGGCCUGUGAGGGUUGCUGGAGGUAUCAGAAGUGCGAAUGCUGACAUAAGUAACGAUAAAGCGGGUGAAAAGCCCGCUCGCCGGAAGACCAAGGGUUCCUGUCCAACGUUAAUCGGGGCAGGGUGAGUCGACCCCUAAGGCGAGGCCGAAAGGCGUAGUCGAUGGGAAACGGGUUAAUAUUCCCGUACUUGGUGUUACUGCGAAGGGGGGACGGAGAAGGCUAUGUUGGCCGGGCGACGGUUGUCCCGGUUUAAGCGUGUAGGUGUGUGUUCCAGGUAAAUCCGGUUCACUUUAACACUGAGGCGUGACGACGAGGCACUACGGUGCUGAAGCAACAAAUGCCCUGCUUCCAGGAAAAGCCUCUAAGCAUCAGGUAACAUCAAAUCGUACCCCAAACCGACACAGGUGGUCAGGUAGAGAAUACCAAGGCGCUUGAGAGAACUCGGGUGAAGGAACUAGGCAAAAUGGUGCCGUAACUUCGGGAGAAGGCACGCUGACACGUAGGUGAAGUGAUUUACUCAUGGAGCUGAAGUCAGUCGAAGAUACCAGCUGGCUGCAACUGUUUAUUAAAAACACAGCACUGUGCAAACACGAAAGUGGACGUAUACGGUGUGACGCCUGCCCGGUGCCGGAAGGUUAAUUGAUGGGGUCAGCGCAAGCGAAGCUCCUGAUCGAAGCCCCGGUAAACGGCGGCCGUAACUAUAACGGUCCUAAGGUAGCGAAAUUCCUUGUCGGGUAAGUUCCGACCUGCACGAAUGGCGUAAUGAUGGCCAGGCUGUCUCCACCCGAGACUCAGUGAAAUUGAACUCGCUGUGAAGAUGCAGUGUACCCGCGGCAAGACGGAAAGACCCCGUGAACCUUUACUAUAGCUUGACACUGAACAUUGAGCCUUGAUGUGUAGGAUAGGUGGGAGGCUUUGAAGUGUGGACGCCAGUCUGCAUGGAGCCGACCUUGAAAUACCACCCUUUAAUGUUUGAUGUUCUAACGUGGACCCGUUACCCGGGUUGCGGACAGUGUCUGGUGGGUAGUUUGACUGGGGCGGUCUCCUCCUAAAGAGUAACGGAGGAGCACGAAGGUUGGCUAAUCCUGGUCGGACAUCAGGAGGUUAGUGCAAUGGCAUAAGCCAGCUUGACUGCGAGCGUGACGGCGCGAGCAGGUGCGAAAGCAGGUCAUAGUGAUCCGGUGGUUCUGAAUGGAAGGGCCAUCGCUCAACGGAUAAAAGGUACUCCGGGGAUAACAGGCUGAUACCGCCCAAGAGUUCAUAUCGACGGCGGUGUUUGGCACCUCGAUGUCGGCUCAUCACAUCUGGGGCUGAAGUAGGUCCCAAGGGUAUGGCUGUUCGCCAUUUAAAGUGGUACGCGAGCUGGGUUUAGAACGUCGUGAGACAGUUCGGUCCCUAUCUGCCGUGGGCGCUGGAGAACUGAGGGGGGCUGCUCCUAGUACGAGAGGACCGGAGUGGACGCAUCACUGGUGUUCGGGUUGUCAUGCCAAUGGCACUGCCCGGUAGCUAAAUGCGGAAGAGAUAAGUGCUGAAAGCAUCUAAGCACGAAACUUGCCCCGAGAUGAGUUCUCCCUGAGACUUAAGGUCUCCUGAAGGAACGUUGAAGACGACGACGUUGAUAGGCCGGGUGUGUAAGCGCAGCGAUGCGUUGAGCUAACCGGUACUAAUGAACCGUGAGGCUUAACCUUACAACGCCGAAG
This 2925-nucleotide ribosomal RNA is filed under the name Salmonella enterica subsp. enterica serovar Enteritidis str. SA20094177. Its description in RNAcentral is "bacterial LSU rRNA". It matches the Rfam family "Bacterial large subunit ribosomal RNA". The record is from RNAcentral. Lineage: Bacteria; Pseudomonadati; Pseudomonadota; Gammaproteobacteria; Enterobacterales; Enterobacteriaceae.